UGAGUGGCUGGGAUUACAGGUGUGCGCCACCACCAGGGUGAUAUGUUAACAGGAUAUAGGAAAAAGGCUUCACUGUGCAAGACCUCUAAAUACCAAAACAGAGUCGAAACUGUGAAAUCUAUUUCAAUGCAUGAGAGCUCCUGUCGCUCCACAUCCUCAGCAGCACGUGGUGUUCGGUGUUCUGGAUUUUAGACAUUCUAAUAGGACUCAUUAGUUCUAACAGAUUUGUUUGUCAAUUCCUCAAGAUUUUCUACAUCUAAAAUCAUGUCAUCUGCAAAAAGAGCCCAGCUUCCCUGCUGAGGGAAGUGAGGAUAGCGUGCAAGAAGCCCCUGUCCCUGGAGAAAAGGAGAGCGGCUGGUCAAGGACACAGAUGAGGCCAUGCUUUCUGGUGCGAAGAUCCAAAGAAUAUCACGCCGUGAUUCUUCUGCUUCUCUGCAUGAAUCCCAAUCAACCAACCAAUCUCUCUCCUCCUCUCACUCACAGUAUCUUCCUACCAUUACACAGCUGGACCUGGGAUAGUCGGCUGGCCGCAAAGGCCUGGGUCAGCUCAUGAGGCACCCACUCAUGGAGCUUUUUCAUCCUUCCAAUUUGCUUCAAAUGCCAAACGACUGUAGAAUGGUUGACGCUGAGUUCUUCAGCAACUUCUCAUGUAGCUUUAAAAGGAUCAGCUUCGAUGACUGCUCUCAAUUGGUUGUUAUCAACUUCUGAAGGCCGGCCACUAAGCUCCUCAUCCUCAAGGUUCUCAUCUCCUUUGCAAAACUUCUUGAACCAUCACUGCACGAAACUCAGCUUUGGCAAUUCAAACGGAGUGGCACAUCAGGAUGGGUGUGUGUAUCUUUGAAUGACCUCAUGAGGCUGACUUGCCUCCUAGCAGCAUGGACCAGACAGUUACAUGAGAGGCCAAUAUGGUGAGAUAAUGGCUCAUGGCAGACAACAAACAUCUAUGCCUCGACUAACUGUUCCCGAAACUACUGUCCAUUAAUUAAUCCUAAAGCCAAAAGAGGAUACAUAAUUUUCCUUCUUAAACAUAUGAAGGUAAGUUGCAGACAAGAUGUCAUUUUACUUCUAAAUAUGUCAGUGUACAUCUCCUAAAAGCAAGGUAUAUCUCUUCUAUAAUCACAGUACAAGGAUCAAAAUCAGACAAGCCUAACACUGCUAACAUUGCUAUCACCUCAUCUCCAGACCUUAUUCAAAUCUCACCAAUUGUCCCACUUAUGACCCUUACUACAAAAGAAAAACAUUUUUCUUCUGGUCCAGGAUCUAAACCAGGAUCACACAUUGCAUUUAGUUGUCAUGUGUCUUUAGUUUCCUUUGAUCUACAUAAGUUGCUCAACUCUUCUUUGUGUUUCCUGACCUUGACAUGUUUGAAGAGAAGAAGCCAUUUAUUUUGUAGACUGUCUUUCAAUUUGGUUUGUCUGAUGUUUCCUCAUGAUUAUACUCAGGUUGUACAUUUUUGGCAAGAAUAUCAUAGAAAUGACUGUUGAGAGAGGAAUGUCUUCUGUUAUUCAUAACAAGCUCCUUUCAAUCAUACCUGAGUUUAUGCUAAUGAGAUGACUCUUAGAGGAUGGGAGCAGGUGGCCAGAGGAUCCAACCAUGUGAUUAAGGGGUUGGAACUUUCAGCCCCACCCCCACCCUCCAAAGGGGAGAGGGACUGAAGAAUGACUUAAUCACUAAUGGCAGAUUGAUAGGAUCAAUCAUGCCUACCUAGUCAGGCCUUCAUAAAAACCCAAGGACAAGGAUCAGAGGACUUGUGGGUUGCUGAACACACGGAAGUGAUGGAGGGUGGUGCACCUGGAGAGGGCAUGGAUGCUCUGCACCCCUUCCUAACACCUUGCCCUGUGCAUCUCCUCCACUGGGUUACUCUCAAGCUGUACCCUUUAUAAUAAACUGAUAAUAGUAAGCAAAGAGUUUCUGCGAGUUCUGUGAGUGAUAGUGCAAAUUAUCACCUACAACCCUCAUUCUUGGAAUCACUUCACAAGUGCCUUUAGUGAACCAACGUUAACACUUUCUAUCUAGAAUGUGCCACAUUCUACAAAUCAACUACCGUGGACUCUCCUGAAAAUUAAUGAAAUGAAAUAUGAAAGACGGCAAGAUAAUAAAGAGACAUAAUCAAAGACACUGUGUAACUUUGGGCCACAGAUGGGAUUAAAAAACAAUAAAAAAAGACUCCGAGGGACAAGCUUAAAUAUGGACAAUACAUGAGAUGAAACUGUUAGGUUGCUGUCAAUUUUCCUUGGGUGUAAUGAUGGUAUUGUGCUUUUUUGCAGGAAUGAAAUGGCCACUGCAAAAAUUAUGACACUGAGAAAAAUCCGACCUAACCAACUUUAUCUUGCUUUUAACCUCCAAGCUGCCCCUGUUCAUUCCUGGGUGUAGGCCAUGCUAACUAUAAGAGGAAUUUAAUUUAUACUUUAACUGUAAAACAAUGAAAACAGCCCCUUCCCAAAACAAACCCCCUCCUUGUCUGGGGAACAGACUGCAUUUGUAAAACUAACAUUAGAAAUUAAGGCUCAGGAGUCAUGCAGCCAGACCAGCAAACUGGCUCAACUAGUUCUGUGAUCUUACCCAGUAACUGAAGGUAGCAAGAAGACCCUGCCUCAAGCACCUAUAAUUUCAUCCCCAAACCAACCAGUCAGCAUUCCUCACUCCCUGGCCCCCUGCCCACCAAAUUAUUCUUUAAAAACCCUAGCCUCCAAAUUUUGGGAGAAAUUUAUUUGAGUAAUAAAACUUCAGUCUCCCAUUUAGCCAGCCCUGUGUUUAUUAAACUCUUUCUCUA
This 2773-nucleotide long non-coding RNA is filed under the name Homo sapiens (human). RNAcentral describes it as "HSALNT0374793". The record is from RNAcentral. Lineage: Eukaryota; Metazoa; Chordata; Mammalia; Primates; Hominidae.